Molecule: ribosomal RNA, 563 nt
Filed under: uncultured bacterium
Lineage: Bacteria
Description: partial 16S ribosomal RNA
Rfam family: Bacterial small subunit ribosomal RNA
Source: RNAcentral
UGGGGAAUUUUGGACAAUGGGGGAAACCCUGAUCCAGCCAUCCCGCGUGUGCGAUGAAGGCCUUCGGGUUGUAAAGCACUUUUGGCAGGAAAGAAACGUCGCGGGUUAAUACCCCGCGAAACUGACGGUACCUGCAGAAUAAGCACCGGCUAACUACGUGCCAGCAGCCGCGGUAAUACGUAGGGUGCAAGCGUUAAUCGGAAUUACUGGGCGUAAAGCGUGCGCAGGCGGUUCGGAAAGAAAGAUGUGAAAUCCCAGAGCUUAACUUUGGAACUGCAUUUUUAACUACCGGGCUAGAGUGUGUCAGAGGGAGGUGGAAUUCCGCGUGUAGCAGUGAAAUGCGUAGAUAUGCGGAGGAACACCGAUGGCGGAGGCAGCCUCCUGGGAUAACACUGACGCUCAUGCACGAAAGCGUGGGGAGCAAACAGGAUUAGAUACCCUGGUAGUCCACGCCCUAAACGAUGUCAACUAGCUGUUGGGGCCUUCGGGCCUUGGUAGCGCAGCUAACGCGUGAAGUUGACCGCCUGGGGAGUACGGUCGCAAGAUUAAAACUCAAAGGAAUU